CCACUUAUCCCACAAGCUGAGGGGGGAAGAUAAUAAACUAUAAGUUGCGAAACGGCGGCUCCUCGAUAUUUCUGGUCCAUUGCUAAUCGUAUUUCUGCGCCGUGCCCUAGCCCCUCCUGCCUGUCUGUCUCUCUCUCUUUCUGUCCCCUCCUCCCUCCUCCUCCGUUCUAGGGUUUUCGCUCCACCUCUAGGGCUUUAAUAAUCCCCCGCAGGACCGCCGGAUUCCGCCAAUCCAGCUCCGACCAGGCCGGCGGCGCCACCCGCCAACCAUAGCUCCGCCGGAGGCGAUCGGCGGCUCCUCCUCCCCCUCGUUAAGGGCUGUCCCCCCGGGGUUCCGCGAUUGAUGGGAACGGAGAGGAAGAGGAAGGUGAGCCUGUUCGACGUGGUGGAC
This 391-nucleotide long non-coding RNA is filed under the name Eucalyptus grandis. RNAcentral's name for it is "long non-coding RNA (EGRA_LNC007558)". The record is from RNAcentral. Lineage: Eukaryota; Viridiplantae; Streptophyta; Magnoliopsida; Myrtales; Myrtaceae.